This 378-nucleotide ribosomal RNA is filed under the name uncultured organism. RNAcentral's name for it is "bacterial SSU rRNA". It matches the Rfam family "Archaeal small subunit ribosomal RNA", at positions 476 to 851 of the family's 1478-position model. The record is from RNAcentral.
CCAGCACCCCGAGUGGUCGGGACGAUUAUUGGGCCUAAAGCAUCCGUAGCCGGUACUGCAAGUCUUCCGUUAAAUCCACCUGCUUAACAGUUGGGCUGCGGGGGAUACUACAGCGCUAGGAGGCGGGAGAGGCAAGCGGUACUCAAUGGGUAGGGGUAAAAUCCGCUGAUCCAUUGAAGACCACCAGUGGCGAAGGCGGCUUGCCAGAACGCGCUCGACGGUGAGGGAUGAAAGCUGGGGGAGCAAACCGGAUUAGAUACCCGGGUAGUCCCAAGCUGUAAACGAUGCAGACUCGGUGAUGGGCUGGCCUUGUGCCAAACCCAGUGCCGCAGGGGAAGCCGUUAAAGUCUGCCGCCUGGGGAUACGGUCGCAAGACUG